AGAGUAACUUUUACAUAUUAAAGGGUUAUCUUGAUGUGAUAAAAUUUGUAAACUUUACCUACAUUA
RNAcentral lists this transfer RNA (66 nucleotides) under Tetrix ruyuanensis. Its description in RNAcentral is "tRNA-Ile". Lineage: Eukaryota; Metazoa; Arthropoda; Insecta; Orthoptera; Tetrigidae. The record is from RNAcentral.